Molecule: long non-coding RNA, 461 nt
Filed under: Mytilus galloprovincialis (Mediterranean mussel)
Lineage: Eukaryota; Metazoa; Mollusca; Bivalvia; Mytilida; Mytilidae
Source: RNAcentral
AUUCACACACAGGCACUGGUCUCAGAAUUUAUUAUAUAAAGGUAUAAGACGAGUGCCUGUGAAUACACAUAUCCGUUUUUUUUUUACAGUUUAUAUGAGAAAAUACAAAACUGGCAGAAGGUUUGAAACGGAACACAAAUUAAACCUACAAUUGCUCCUCAGUGAAUAAACCAAAUAAAACAGCUAGCAAAUAACCCUAACCCUAAACCAAAUAAAACAGCUAAACAAAGAAAGAAACAUAUUUAAGAUGGAAAAAAUCUGGGGUUGCUAUUGCCUAAAUAUUCAAUAUUGUGUUGAUGAAAAACCCAAUACAUUAAGGAGCUUGGUGGUGAAAAACCCAAUUUGAUGUUAACAUGAGGGUGAAUUGGAAUUGAUCAUGCAAUUAAAAAACUUUAUCACCCAAUUAUAUAUGAAAAUGGUGGGUUAAAAACCCAAUUUGUGAAUUCUUAUCUGGAGCUCUG